RNAcentral lists this long non-coding RNA (1281 nucleotides) under Homo sapiens (human). RNAcentral describes it as "HSALNT0365603". Lineage: Eukaryota; Metazoa; Chordata; Mammalia; Primates; Hominidae. The record is from RNAcentral.
UGCUGGUCGCCAAGGAGACGACUGACAAUUUCCAGUUGCCAAGCCUCACCCUGGAGCUCUACAGAGACAUUAUGGAAACUCCCCACUCCUUCCUGCUCCUCAGCCAGGGAACUUGGAGAAUCUAGCCAGGUUGGGUGGAGGGCACUGGGAGGGGAUAGAGAGGAGGUGACAAGCCUGAAGAUGGAGAGAGCAGCUAGAAGUUUCCCUGGGCCCUGGCUUCCCCAACAGACCUCAAAAGUCUGGCCCACCCUUGAAGGCUAGGGCUGGCCUGGUGGGCAUCCCCUGUGCUGGGUCCAGACAGACUCCUACCAGGGACCUCCAACCAGACCCUCAACUACAGAGAACUGUCCCUAUAUUGUCAUUCCCGGCCUGGUAGCAGCACUGUUGCCAGAUGGGGCAGAACCCAGGAAGAACCUGGGAACUGAAGGGCUAGGAGUCUUUCCUGGGGGAAGGAACUGCAGCUGUCCUGAGCACUUUGCUCAUAUCAGACAGCACUCAAAUGCACUGAGGCCUAGUGUCACAGCCCGGGAAACAGCAACAACAGCAACGCUAAUAAUAAUAAUCGUAGUGGUGCAGUAGGUGUGACUCUUACUCUAUAAACUUAGGUGCACAAAAAUAUCCAUUUCUCUAUUUCACUAAAAUCAAGUAGAGUUGAGUUCAUUCCUGGGGCUCCUGCCUUUUUCCAGCGUCCCACCAGAACCCGGGGGCUUAUUGCUAUGGUUUAAAUGUGUCCCCAAAAUUCAGGUGUUGCCAGUGUGGUAGUAUUAAGAGAUGGGGUCUCCAAGAGGUGGUUGGGCCACGAGGGCUCCUCCCCUGUGAAUGGGAGUAGCUGCCCUUAUAAAAGGGCUUGACAAAGGGAGUUUAUCCCUUUUUGCCCUUCUGCCUUCCACUAUGUGGGGACAUGGCCUUCGUCUCCUCUGGAAGAUGCAGUGACAAGGCGCCAUCUUGGAAGACAACAGCUCUCACCAGACACCGGACCUGCUGGAGCCCCGGUCUUGGACUUCCCAGUCUCCAGAACUAUGAGGCCACAAGAUGGAGACGGAGCGGGUUGCUCACCCAAGUUCAUGCAGCGCCCAUCUGACGUUCCCCCGGGAGGAGCUGCAGGGCCUUCUUUCGAGGAGGUGGCAGAGGGGCUUCCUGCGUGCAAAGGAGGGUCCCACCAGCCCUUUUGGAACCUCAGCCUGGUCCUCCAGAAUUUCACCUCAAACUACUGGAGUCUAGGAAAACCAUUAAAGGAAGAAAUUGAAGCUUAGAGAAGUUCUGUAAGAUGCUGAGGUCACA